RNAcentral lists this long non-coding RNA (2082 nucleotides) under Solanum tuberosum (potato). Its description in RNAcentral is "long non-coding RNA (STUB_LNC004799)". The record is from RNAcentral. Lineage: Eukaryota; Viridiplantae; Streptophyta; Magnoliopsida; Solanales; Solanaceae.
AUGAAAAGAAUAAUCCACUGCCCUAUGGUUCAAUGGCUACAAGAAUUGAAAGAAAGAAACAGUUAAGUGCAAAUCUGACAAACCCCGAAACCACCCAUGUAAUCACUAAAUAUGCUAUAGACAAGACUAAAAACCCCCUUAUGUCAAAGCCCGGAAAUCCAAAUUGCAGUGCAAGCACCAAAGACCAAAAGGUGACAGAGGAUCACAUGUUGAUUAUAACCAAGCUUUGAAAUUUCCAAAUCUGAAUGUCCAUAACAGUACCACCACCAUAUGGCUACACAUCUAUCCAACCAAAACAAACUAUCAUGAUAAUAUAAAAAAAAUGGAAGACAAAAGAUAAUAAGUAGCUAGAAGAACAAAAGUAAAGAAGUAUUUUACAUCACUAUAAAAAGAUCUAGGAUUGGCCGAGUACUUCUUUAGGUGCCCACACAAAAGACCUCAUCACCAUAGGACACCUCACAACUUGGAUCAUCCAAGAGCAUAUGCUUCUGGACAAAGAACUCAUGGCAGCAGAAAAAUACAACACACUGGUCAAAAAUAAUAUCCUAAUUGAGAAACUUCCAUACAAAAGUAGUUUUGACAAAGAUAAGAGGAGCCAUGAGAGAAGAAAACUGAAUUGAAAAUUAUCGAUACUCAUAAAAGACUGAACUUAAAAGGCCUCAACUCAUAUGGACAAACAAGAUCACUCCAUGAAAAGAAGAAUCCACUGCUCUGUAAGACCCAAUGGCUGCAAGCAAAGGAAUAAAGGAAAGAAUACUUGCAAAGCUGACGAAACCCACUAGAAAAUGCAAGAUAAGAUUGAAAAACCCCUCUCAUAUCCUGAUAAUAUCCAUAUUGCGGUGCAUCCACAAAACUGGCAAAGAAUCAAGAUUGAGAAACCCCUCUAUCUCGCCUAAUAAUAUUCAGAUUGUAGUGCCAGCACAAAAAUGGCAUAGAAACAGGUUGCACAAGAAUGGACACUGGGCAUUAACCUUCAAAAUUUUCCAAAUCUAAUCCUCUACUGUCAUCCAUCCAACAAAUAAAAUCAAUCUGGGGUGAAACAAACAGGAAGCAGAGAACGGACCCACUUGAUGGGGCUGUCAAGAGAUCUAGGAUUGAGUUUUGAUUUCUUAUCAGGUGUCAAUAAGACCAUAUACCCAUCAACCAACCAGGAAUCUCGUAAUCUCAUCAAUUGGAUCAUCGAAGAACACAAGCAUCCGAUCUACAAACUAAAAAUGGCAGAGCAGAAUACAACACACACUAGUGCAAGAAAAACUAAUUUAGCUGGGAACUACCAUAUAACGGCAAUUUUUGACAAAGAGAGGAGGGACCACUCUGAUUGAGGAAGAAAACUGAAAUGAGAAUCUCAGUACUCAUAAAACCUGAAGUAGAAGAACAUCAACACAAAUGUCCAAACAAAGCCCCUCCAUGAAAAGGAUAGUUCACUGCUCGGUUAGACCCAACUGCAAGCACAGAAAGGAGGCUGCAAGCACAGAAAGAAGGGAACAGUUAAGUGCAAAGCUGACAAAACCCUUAUCACCUAAGAAAUCACUAGAGACGCAAGAGAUAUUGAAAAACCCCAUUAGUCGAAGCCUGACAAUAUCUAUCUUGGAGUGCAAGCACAAAAAAGACAGAAAAAGGUGCAAAGGAACGCCUACCGGAUACAAGCAUUCGAAGUUCCCAAAACUAAUCCUCUAUUAAUAUCACCAUGUGGUCUACACAUACAUUCACCAAUAAACAAGAUCAAGCAGGUGUGAUAACCAAGGGAAAACGAAAGCAGAGAGAAAAUAAGUAGCUAGGACACAAAAGCCAGAGGAGCACUUUACGGCACUAUCAGAGAUCCAGAAUUGACUUUUGACUACUUAUACAGUGCCCAUAACACCACAAGAGAUAGCAGGAUUAUCAAAGAACAUGAGCAUCUGAACCAUGAACUAAAACUGGCAGCGUUACACACACAAGUGAAGAGAAAUAUCAUAAUUGAGAACUUCCAUAAGCAGUAAUGACAAAACUUCGAGAGACUGAAAAAUCCAAUACCUAUAGUCAAAAACCUGGGAACUGUUGCAUCCUUCCCGAGACGAACACCAAAGCAAGACACUUACUCCU